UAUUUUUAAAAGUCAAUUAUUAUCCAUUGCAUGGCCAUGCGGACGCCCAAACGACAUCGUAUUGGUCACAUUCAAUAUGGGCCAUUAAUCUCAAACUGAUCAACGGCCAGGAUUCCAUCUCUUUUACCCGUUAGUCAAGCCCGACCCGUUACCUAUCCAACGCCCCUCUUAUCCCAAACAACGCCGUUCUUCAUUAAGGGAUUAAUCCAGGCCGUUGAUCGUAAUUGAUCCAACGGUCAAGAUCAAAUUGCCCCUCUACUAUAUAUUCCUAAUUUCUUACCCAUCCCCCCAAGCCAACCCCUCUUCGUCUCUCAAACCUCGUCUCUUUCAGAGACGGGAACCCUAGCCCCGCGCCCCUUUCCUUUCACAGUAAACCCGGCGGCACCGGCUCCGAUGGCAUGAAACUAACACCCCUAGAGCACCUAACCACCCUCUUCACGAAUCCCUUGCCCGUUUUCCUCGAAUCACCUCCCAUUCGAAUCUUCAAUUAAAGAUUCGAGCAAAACCUAAACCUACCCCAAUCUACCCCAAACUCACACCCCGUCACCCCUGACCUCCCUCGUAACCAAACCACCUUUGGUUUGGUUCAAAUUAGGCUUAAAAAGUUUGAAUCCCAAAUCAAACAAAACAGAACCCUAGACCAAUAGAUGGAGCCUGUCCGAGAUUAGGAGAAAUUUGGGGUUCCUAAUCGAUCUUAGUCGAGUGUUCUCACAAGAACACUCGAUUAAGAUCCAUUUGACCCCAAAAAAGGUUCGAGUCCAAGAUUGAUGAAGUACGUUUGGUAUUUGAUCCACUGAGGUAUUCUUCCCCUCUUCUUCUCGUUCUAUUUUAUUAGUAUUUGUUAUUUAUUUAGUUUUGAUAGUUUCUUUUCAAUUUUUGACAAUUGUUCUGUCCAUCUUCAUAAGACCUUUUGUUCGGUCAAUUUGGUUUCUGUUCGUUGUUGUGUGUAUAUUAGGCUGUGUAAUCGAUUCGAAUAAGGUCGCCUAUUAAUUAAUGUUGUAUUAUAACUCAUUGUUUCUCCCAAUACCACUGAAAUCACCCAAAAUUGCCUGAUUCUAUGUUUCUGAUCCUUUGUUGUUAUUGAAUUGUUUAAAUGAUUGAAUAAGUUUCGUCUAUUAGUCCGUGUUUGACUGUUAGUUCUGGAUUAUAGUAGUUUAAUUUUGGUUUUAAUUUCAUAAGUCCAUUCCAGUCUCCUUCUCCUCUUGCCUCGUGUAUGUUUCUGUCUGUGUAUUGAACUGAAUCUUGUCAUAUAGGAUUAAUUCUACAUGAUGUUUGAAUUGCUUAGUCAUUCGUCAUUUAAUUGAAUGGCUUGGUCACUCAAAUGUCUUGAAUUGCCUGUUUGUUUUCUGUAUCUUGAUUUAAGAUUUUCUGAUUGUUUCUUCUUUUUGAUUUCUAAAAAAUAUUAGUAUGAAUGUGAUUUUUAGUUCAUUUCCACUGUUCUGUUGAAUUUUGAAUUGGUUAUAGCUGGUGUUUUGGUUUAAAUUCUUUUUUAAUGUGCUUGUGUUGAUUUGGAGUCAAUAAUGAGUGUAAUUAGUUAAUUUAUGUUGAACUUUGGAUUGGUUAUAGCUGGUGUUUCGGUUUGACUUCUUUUUUAUGUGCUUGUAUUGAUUAGGAGUCAAUAAUGAGUUUAAUUAGUUAAAUUGAUUAGGUUGGGAUUGGCCUUAGCUGUAGUUAGAAGAUAAUUUUAGAAAUUAGAGGUUUAGUUUUGUUUAGUAUUGAUAUGAAUCAGAACAAUGGCAGUCAGUAUGUUUCAGGGGUAUUUUAGGAAUAAAAAGAAUAAGAAAAUCUGGUGUGACUGAAUAGUCUAUCAUGUAGGAUCACAAUGUGCUUUAAUUUGAAUUAAUUAGUUGGUAGGCACCAUUGAAAAUGAUGAGUGUUGACUACUUUUGCUUAACUGAAAUUAAGGAAAGUGUAAGUGAUGAUAAAAGUAACAUAGAAGAGCAUAUUUUUGGGGCUAGAUAUUAAAGUAAAGGUUAAGUGGAAGGGUAAUGAUAAUAGGGUAGGGUAAUAAUUAAAGGGGAAGGGGAAAUAGGGUCUUGUUUGAAUAAAUAAGAGUCAUUUGGCUAUUUUUAAGGGAUCAGAUUUUAGAGAACAAAGAUUGAAAAAAAAAUCUGAGAUAGAGAAAAAAGAGUUGAGGUUAGUUUAAAAAAAAGAUAGACUUCAAGAGUCAGUUUUGAGAGAGCUUAAAAGAACAGCGAUAUUGAUUUUGAGAGGAAGAACAUUAGACUUUCCAGACAAACAUACAAAAGCUACCAAGAUUCAAAAAAAAAAAAUACUGUUCCAUUCAGUUUCCUAUUUUAAUUUCGAAUUCCGGUAGUUGGUUUUGUUCUUCUAGCCUAGUUUUGAGUUGCUGGAGUUUCUUCUAAGAUCAAUUGUUCAGUUUUGGGUGUGUUCGAAUUAUGUGGGUCGUUUUGAGCUAUAUUUGGUUGGUUCAGUCAUCUCUUGAGAGCUAUUUGUUGGUGUCUUUCAAGCUGAAAUAGUUGUUAGUUGUCUCUUGCUGUGAUAUCACUAUAGAUCGUUGUUACUGCGUUGCUGUUGUGACUGCUGUUGUAUUGCCACUGCUGACCAUUCCUUUCUCUAUUUCAAUUCGAAUUCCAGGUACUUGUCUUGACCCAUGGCGAUGUAGUUUUCAGAAUGUGGAAUGGAAUUUCGUGUUCUUCGCUUGCUGAACCUGUUUGCUUCUGUGUUUAGUUGUAGUUUAGUCUAGUUAGUUUCUAUUUCAUUAAUUGAGUUUUGUAAUUAAACUUGGACUAAGGGACUGAUAUUCACUCAUUUGCCUUGACAUUCAUAAUCUUGUCCUUGUGUAUUUUAGCUACUGAAAUUCCAAAGGUAAGUGGUUCCGAAGUCAUUGGUCUCUAUGUGUAUUAACAUGUUAGAAAAUGAAUUGGGAGUCGAUACAGCAGCCCAGUUUUGUUAAUCACUUGAGUAUUCAUGGCAUACUCAUCAAAGCUCAGAAGCCUGUUUAAGGUCGCUCUUCCUGAUGCGGGCCCAGGCCAAGGCUUAUUUUUGACCAGUCCUUGUUGGUGGACUGAAGUUCCAAAUUAUGUCUUUUGGGCUUACCUUUGAACUUAAUGGCAUGUUUAAUUUAAAAGUAUUGCCUGGCUUGUAUUAGGCCAAUGACAAAUUAAUUAGGACUUUUCUUUUAUUAUUAGAGACAAAUAAAAACUGAAAUGUAGUCGCUUUAGGAUAUCCUUUUAAAAAAUGAAUGAGAUGAGCCUCGCCAAAUAAAACACACGAGCUGUGGGGCCCUCAAUAAAUAUAUAACAAUUGGAUAGACUUUGGAUUUGGUCGCUUAGCGAAUUUUUGGUGCCUUUUCCCAAAAAAACGACACAUUAGUCUCUUUAGGACGCGUCUUUAAUAAAAUUACCUCCCUAAAUACUGGUGUGCAUUUAUGCAACCCAAAUCCUAAUCUCGAUGAAGUUAAAAUGUGUCGACGACCACGUGUACACUGGUUGUGACGUGGUUCGAGAUACGUUUU
This 3478-nucleotide long non-coding RNA is filed under the name Nicotiana benthamiana. RNAcentral describes it as "long non-coding RNA (NBEN_LNC016877)". Lineage: Eukaryota; Viridiplantae; Streptophyta; Magnoliopsida; Solanales; Solanaceae. The record is from RNAcentral.